Molecule: ribosomal RNA, 229 nt
Filed under: Eulemur sanfordi (Sanford's brown lemur)
Lineage: Eukaryota; Metazoa; Chordata; Mammalia; Primates; Lemuridae
Also listed under: 2 other names
Description: partial 12S ribosomal RNA
Source: RNAcentral
CAAAAUUACUCGCCAGAGCACUACAAGCAAUAGCUUAAAACUCAAAGGACUUGGCGGUGCUUUAUAUCCCUCUAGAGGAGCCUGUUCUAUAAUCGAUAAACCCCGAUAAACCUCACCACUCCUUGCUAAUUCAACCUAUAUACCGCCAUCCUCAGCAAACCUUGUUAAGGCCUAAAAGUAAGCAAAAACACAGACAUAAAAACGUUAGGUCAAGGUGUAGUCUAUGGAG